Molecule: ribosomal RNA, 207 nt
Filed under: uncultured bacterium
Lineage: Bacteria
Description: partial 16S ribosomal RNA
Rfam family: Bacterial small subunit ribosomal RNA
Source: RNAcentral
CGUGUAGGCGGUUUGGCAAGUCAGAGGUAAAAUGCCCCGGCUCAACCGGGGACCUGCCUUUGAAACUGCCGAACUUGAGGCCGUGAGGGGAGACUGGAAUUCCUAGUGUAGCGGUGAAAUGCAUAGAUAUUAGGAAGAACACCAGUGGCGAAGGCGAGUCUCUGGCACGGUUCUGACGCUGAGGCGCGAAAGCUAGGGGAGCGAACG